GUUAUAGGAUCAAGCGACUAAGUGUAUGUGGUGGAUGCCUUGGCGAUCACAGGCGAUGAAGGACGCGGCAGCCUGCGAAAAGCCGUGGGGAGUUGGCAAGCAAACUUUGAUCCACGGAUGUCCGAAUGAGGGAACUCACUCGAGCAAUCGAGUAUCCGCAUCUGAAUACAUAGGAUGCGGAGGCGAACGCGGAGAACUGAAACAUCUAAGUACCCGCAGGAAAAGAAAUCAACCGAGAUUCUGAAAGUAGCGGCGAGCGAAAUUGGAAGAGCCUGCAGUCGAUAGUCGAAGCGAUACCGGAACGGUCUGGAAAGUCCGGCUACAGAGGGUGAUAGCCCCGUACGGGAAAUUGAGUCGACAGUACUAAGGCUGCGAGAAGUAGGGCGGAACACGUGGAAUUCUGUCUGAAGACGGGGGGACCAUCCUCCAAGGCUAAAUACUAGUGAUCGACCGAUAGUGAACCAGUACUGUGAAGGAAAGGCGAAAAGAACCCCGGGAGGGGAGUGAAAUAGAUCCUGAAACCGCAUACAUACAAACAGUAGGAGCCCGCAAGGGUGACUGCGUACCUUUUGCAUAAUGGGUCAGCGACUUACGUUCAAUGGCGAGCUUAACCGAAUAGGGGAGGCGCAGCGAAAGCGAGUCCGAACAGGGCGACAAGAGUCGUUGGGCGUAGACCCGAAACCAGAUGAU
This 690-nucleotide ribosomal RNA is filed under the name Sutterella massiliensis. RNAcentral's name for it is "partial 23S ribosomal RNA". It matches the Rfam family "Bacterial large subunit ribosomal RNA", at positions 1 to 729 of the family's 2925-position model. Lineage: Bacteria; Pseudomonadati; Pseudomonadota; Betaproteobacteria; Burkholderiales; Sutterellaceae. The record is from RNAcentral.